UACAGAGGGUGCAAGCGUUGUUCGGAAUUAUUGGGCGUAAAGGGCGCGUAGGCGGUGCGGUAGUCACCUGUGAAACCUCUGGGCUUAACUCAGAGCCUGCAGGCGAAACUGCCGUGCUUGAGUGUGGGAGAGGUGCGUGGAAUUCCCGGUGUAGCGGUGAAUGCGUAGAUAUCGCUUGGAACGCCAAAGGUGAAAAGCAGGUUGUGCUGGGGAUGUUCGUGAGCACU
This 227-nucleotide ribosomal RNA is filed under the name uncultured bacterium. Its description in RNAcentral is "partial 16S ribosomal RNA". It matches the Rfam family "Bacterial small subunit ribosomal RNA", at positions 524 to 757 of the family's 1533-position model. The record is from RNAcentral.